GAUGAACGCUAGCUACAGGCUUAACACAUGCAAGUCGAGGGGCAGCGGGAUUGAAGCUUGCUUCAAUUGCCGGCGACCGGCGCACGGGUGAGUAACGCGUAUCCAACCUUCCGUACACUCAGGGAUAGCCUUUCGAAAGAAAGAUUAAUACCUGAUGGUAUGAUGAGAUCGCAUGGUAUCAUCAUUAAAGAUUUAUCGGUGUACGAUGGGGAUGCGUUCCAUUAGGUAGUAGGCGGGGUAACGGCCCACCUAGCCUACGAUGGAUAGGGGUUCUGAGGGGAAGGUCCCCCCACAUUGGAACUGAGACACGGUCCAAACUCCUACGGGAGGCAGCAGUGAGGAAUAUUGGUCAAUGGGCGAGAGCCUGAACCAGCCAAGUAGCGUGAAGGAUGAAGGUCCUACGGAUUGUAAACUUCUUUUAUACGGGAAUAAAGUUUCCUACGUGUAGGAUUUUGAUGUACCGUAUGAAUAAGCAUCGGCUAACUCCGUGCCAGCAGCCGCGGU
Molecule: ribosomal RNA, 504 nt
Filed under: uncultured bacterium
Lineage: Bacteria
Description: bacterial SSU rRNA
Rfam family: Bacterial small subunit ribosomal RNA
Source: RNAcentral